RNAcentral lists this ribosomal RNA (253 nucleotides) under uncultured bacterium. Its description in RNAcentral is "partial 16S ribosomal RNA". It matches the Rfam family "Bacterial small subunit ribosomal RNA", at positions 524 to 776 of the family's 1533-position model. The record is from RNAcentral.
AACGUAGGAGACAAACGUUAUCCGGAGUUACUGGGCGUAAAGGGCGUGCAGGUGGUCUGUUAAGUUCGGCGUGAAAGCGCCCGGCUAAACCGGGCGAGGUCGUCGGAGACUGGCGGACUAGAGGACGGUAGAGGCGGGUGGAAUUCCGGGUGUAGUGGUGAAAUGCGUAGAGAUCCGGAGGAACACCAGUGGCGAAGGCGACCCGCUGGGCCGUACCUGACACUAAGACGCGACAGCAUGGGGAGCGAACGGG